CCCUUCGGGGUGUGACUGCGUACCUUUUGUAUAAUGGGUCAGCGACUUAUAUUCUGUAGCAAGGUUAACCGAAUAGGGGAGCCGGAGGGAAACCGAGUCUUAAUUGGGCGUUAAGUUGCAGGGUAUAGACCCGAAACCCGGUGAUCUAGCCAUGGGCAGGUUGAAGGUUGGGUAACACUAACUGGAGGACCGAACCGACUAAUGUUGAAAAAUUAGCGGAUGACCUGUGGCUGGGGGUGAAAGGCCAAUCAAACCGGGAGAUAGCUGGUUCUCCCCGAAAGCUAUUUAGGUAGCGCCUCGUGAAUUCAUCUCCGGGGGUAGAGCACUGUUUCGGCUAGGGGGCCAUCCCGGCUUACCAACCCGAUGCAAACUGCGAAUACCGGAGAAUGUUAUCACGGGAGACACACGGCGGGUGCUAACGUCCGUCGUGAAGAGGGAAACAACCCAGACCGCCAGCUAAGGUCCCAAAGUCAUGGUUAAGUGGGAAACGAUGUGGGAAGGCCCAGACAGCCAGGAUGUUGGCUUAGAAGCAGCCAUCAUUUAAAGAAAGCGUAAUAGCUCACUGGUCGAGUCGGCCUGCGCGGAAGAUGUAACGGGGCUAAACCAUGCACCGAAGCUGCGGCAGCGACACUCAGGUGUUGUUGGGUAGGGGAGCGUUCUGUAAGCCUGUGAAGGUGGCCUGUGAGGGUUGCUGGAGGUAUCAGAAGUGCGAAUGCUGACAUAAGUAACGAUAAAGCGGGUGAAAAGCCCGCUCGCCGGAAGACCAAGGGUUCCUGUCCAACGUUAAUCGGGGCAGGGUGAGUCGACCCCUAAGGCGAGGCCGAAAGGCGUAGUCGAUGGGAAACGGGUUAAUAUUCCCGUACUUGGUGUUACUGCGAAGGGGGGACGGAGAAGGCUAUGUUGGCCGGGCGACGGUUGUCCCGGUUUAAGCGUGUAGGUGUGUGUUCCAGGUAAAUCCGGUUCACUUUAACACUGAGGCGUGACGACGAGGCACUACGGUGCUGAAGCAACAAAUGCCCUGCUUCCAGGAAAAGCCUCUAAGCAUCAGGUAACAUCAAAUCGUACCCCAAACCGACACAGGUGGUCAGGUAGAGAAUACCAAGGCGCUUGAGAGAACUCGGGUGAAGGAACUAGGCAAAAUGGUGCCGUAACUUCGGGAGAAGGCACGCUGACACGUAGGUGAAGUGAUUUACUCAUGGAGCUGAAGUCAGUCGAAGAUACCAGCUGGCUGCAACUGUUUAUUAAAAACACAGCACUGUGCAAACACGAAAGUGGACGUAUACGGUGUGACGCCUGCCCGGUGCCGGAAGGUUAAUUGAUGGGGUCAGCGCAAGCGAAGCUCCUGAUCGAAGCCCCGGUAAACGGCGGCCGUAACUAUAACGGUCCUAAGGUAGCGAAAUUCCUUGUCGGGUAAGUUCCGACCUGCACGAAUGGCGUAAUGAUGGCCAGGCUGUCUCCACCCGAGACUCAGUGAAAUUGAACUCGCUGUGAAGAUGCAGUGUACCCGCGGCAAGACGGAAAGACCCCGUGAACCUUUACUAUAGCUUGACACUGAACAUUGAGCCUUGAUGUGUAG
RNAcentral lists this ribosomal RNA (1576 nucleotides) under Salmonella enterica subsp. enterica serovar Virchow. Its description in RNAcentral is "partial 23S ribosomal RNA". It matches the Rfam family "Bacterial large subunit ribosomal RNA", at positions 582 to 2141 of the family's 2925-position model. The record is from RNAcentral. Lineage: Bacteria; Pseudomonadati; Pseudomonadota; Gammaproteobacteria; Enterobacterales; Enterobacteriaceae.